AUAACAGUUGGAAACGGCUGCUAAUACCGCAUAAGCGCACAGUACCGCAUGGUACGGUGUGAAAAACUCCGGUGGUAUGAGAUGGACCCGCGUCUGAUUAGGUAGUUGGUGGGGUAACGGCCUACCAAGCCGACGAUCAGUAGCCGACCUGAGAGGGUGACCGGCCACAUUGGGACUGAGACACGGCCCAAACUCCUACGGGAGGCAGCAGUGGGGAAUAUUGCACAAUGGGGGAAACCCUGAUGCAGCGACGCCGCGUGAGCGAUGAAGUAUUUCGGUAUGUAAAGCUCUAUCAGCAGGGAAGAAGAUGACGGUACCUGACUAAGAAGCCCCGGCUAACUACGUGCCAGCAGCCGCGGUAAUACGUAGGGGGCAAGCGUUAUCCGGAUUUACUGGGUGUAAAGGGAGCGUAGACGGCAUGGCAAGCCAGAUGUGAAAGCCCGGGGCUCAACCCCGGGACUGCAUUUGGAACUGUCAGGCUAGAGUGUCGGAGAGGAAAGCGGAAUUCCUAGUGUAGCGGUGAAAUGCGUAGAUAUUAGGAGGAACACCAGUGGCGAAGGCGGCUUUCUGGACGAUGACUGACGUUGAGGCUCGAAAGCGUGGGGAGCAAACAGGAUUAGAUACCCUGGUAGUCCACGCUGUAAACGAUGAAUACUAGGUGUCGGGUGGCAAAGCCAUUCGGUGCCG
Molecule: ribosomal RNA, 687 nt
Filed under: uncultured bacterium
Lineage: Bacteria
Description: bacterial SSU rRNA
Rfam family: Bacterial small subunit ribosomal RNA
Source: RNAcentral